GUGGGAGGGGGCUUGCUCCCGAUUACGGUGUGUCAGUCGCGAAUACUUUGACUGAACCACCGCAAUCGGGAGCAAGCCCCCUCCCAC
Molecule: unclassified non-coding RNA, 87 nt
Filed under: Pseudomonas grimontii
Lineage: Bacteria; Pseudomonadati; Pseudomonadota; Gammaproteobacteria; Pseudomonadales; Pseudomonadaceae
Source: RNAcentral